UAUAAACUAUGGAAAUGAAAUGCUCAGAGGAAAAUGUGCUUGGAAUUUUGUGCACAGUCCUGGUCCCAGUCCUCUAAACUGGUUGCUAUUCCUUUUAGUAAAAGGAAGACUUUUCUGGUUUGAACCUUUUACAACUAUGGGAACAGAGUGUUUACUUUCCUGCACAACAUUGAGUGGGACUCCAUAUCCCCUUUGAAGUUCUCUAACCCCUGUGCAUAAAAGAAGCUCAGCUGCUCCUUCAUUAGAAGUUGACAGUCCUGGAUCUAACUCCUGACGUCCAGUGGAGUCACCUACACCAUUUUGGGAGGAAGUAACCUCUAGCAUGUACUUCCCAUAUGCUGGGUGGCAUCACUGCCUCGCAAUAGCCCCAUGCAGCUGAUGUUCACAUUGGUUUUGCAGGGAAACCUGGAACCCACGGUGACACCAUAAGCAGUGAAGCCCCACACCUUUCUUCUAGCUUUUUUGAUUCCUUAAUGAUUAAUCAUACUCUCCCUGCUAGCUAGAUGCCCUGGCUACAGGCACCCAUGUUUCUAAAGCUUCCAUUACAAGAAUAUUAAGGAAGCUAGUAAAUACUUUGAGACAAGAGUUGAUUUUGGUUGAUUGUAGAGGUAGCAAGUUGGGCAGGAGUGGGAAACCAGGGAAGCAGAAGAUAUGCCUCACUUGGGACUGCUGAUGAAUUAGGGACAAACUGCCCCUUUGCCUGCACAGUGCCCUUACAGCACUGGAAGAUGGGUCUUAGAUGCUUUUUCCAGAAGAGAAGUUUUGAUGUUCAGAGAGUUCUUGACAGCUAAUAGCAACAGGAUGAGAACCUUGUUCCUCUAGUUCUAUAUUUUGAUAAUGCUGUCGUGCGGUCUGGUGACCUGAUGCCUCUGUUGUUUUCCCCUUUCUUUCUUUUUUUUUUAGGUUGACACAAUAUCUUUAAUUUGUUUAUUUUUAAUGUGGUGCUAAGGAUCGAACCCAGUGCCUCACACAUGCUAGGUGAGCACUCUACCACUGAGCCACAACCCAAGCCCUGUUUUCCCAUUUCUUACAUGGUAAUAGUGAAUCAUAUCAAGUAAGCAUAUAGUAUACCCUUCAUGUUGACAAGGUGAUGCUUUUGAUUUGCUCAACUUUUGUUAGUCCCUAUAAUUCUGGACAGGUUAUGGCUGGGGUUAGGAGGGGCUUGGAAUAGAGUUGACCAUGUCAAGCCAGUUAGUUGAGAUGAAGGUGGGGGCUACAUAACAUCUAAAACGAGUAUAUAAAAAGCCACAGCUUGCUUACAGUACACAUUCCUUCUGGAACAUGAAGCAAAUGAAAACCAGUCUUUUCUGGAUGUACAUUAGUAACUUUCCAAGGGCAGUCCUUUACCUCCCUGCCUUUUCCCCCUUUGAUGAGCAAUCAGUGUCAAAUGGCAUUAAAACAGUGGUUUCAUGAGGUGGAGGAUCAAGCAGCAGAGUUCUUAGCUACAUCUUUACUCCCUUUUGUUUUCUUCUGACCUUUCGAAAUCUGAUCAAAGCACUGGAUUUGAUUUUUUUUUUUUUUUCUUAAUGAACCUAUGCAGAUCUGUACACACUUAUCUACAGCUCAGGAAAUCACCUUUGAAGGCCAUAUCUGGACCUGGGGUUAAGAAACCCUGGUUUGAGAAGCCUCAGUGAGAAUAGGAGUCUUGCUCUCUGCCUGCCUUCACUCUUAGCCCAAGGCCCUAAGCUGGUUCUUGAGUGUGAGUGGACUCCACAACUAAUUCCAUCUAGUGUAGUGAAAUGGGAUGGCAAAGGCAUGCCUUACUGUCUCUCAACGUUGGCUUCCCUCUUCCCUGUGAGACUCACAGGUAUGUAUACGUACAAAAUGUAUAGAAUUGCACGUCAUAAGAAUAAAAUAUGAAAACCUCUUUGUUAAGUAAUAGCACGUGUUGAAUUCAGAAACGACCCUUUGCUGUUCAUCAGGAUCAUGAAAUUCUAGAAUUGGAC
RNAcentral lists this long non-coding RNA (1946 nucleotides) under Marmota monax (woodchuck). The record is from RNAcentral. Lineage: Eukaryota; Metazoa; Chordata; Mammalia; Rodentia; Sciuridae.